Molecule: ribosomal RNA, 254 nt
Filed under: uncultured bacterium
Lineage: Bacteria
Description: partial 16S ribosomal RNA
Rfam family: Bacterial small subunit ribosomal RNA
Source: RNAcentral
CGAAGGGGCUAGCGUUGCUCGGAAUUACUGGGCGUAAAGGGCGCGUAGGCGGCUCUGUUAGUCAGGCGUGAAAUUCCUGGGCUCAACCUGGGGACUGCGCUUGAUACGGCGGGGCUUGAGGAUGGAAGAGGGUCGCGGAAUUCCCAGUGUAGAGGUGAAAUUCGUAGAUAUUGGGGAAGAACGCCGGUGGCGAAGGCGGCGACCUGGUCCAUUACUGACGCUGAGGCGCGACAGCGUGGGGAGCAAACAGGAUU